GAGGCCAGGUGGGGAGGGAGCCUCCCAUUUCCAUAAAGUGGGCUUUAAGCCCCGACACCUGGGCAGGCCCUGAACCUGCCAGAAGAGCAGUGACCCCUGGGAACGCUUAAGGACAACUGCCUUAAGGGACCCAGACACAUAGUAUUUCCCCUGCCAGGUAUGGCUAAAAUACCCCAGAGGAUUAUUCACUUCAUUCAACACCCAAAGCCUAGAAGGUCACUGAGGCAAUGAGAAGACUGCUCUCCAGCUGUAAUGUGAGAAGACUCAUGCACCCUGCACAAACUGCUGUUGAGUGUGAGGAAGCCUGACAGGCUCUGCCACCUGGUCCUAUGUAUGUGUACAGAGAUUAUGUGCCUGGAUUCAUUUCCCACAUGUCAGAGCAGGUGUAUCCAAUAGCUGAAGAAAUGUCCUCAGAACAGUAGCUGGUAUAUUUACCAUCAUCUUGCCUUAUCAUAUUCCUGUAGAAAAAAAUAUGGAAGAGAGCCAGGGAAAGUUGGAACAGGUAUGCAGAGGAGAGAGAAGAGAAAAAUGGUUCUUAACAGGGCUGGGACUUUCUGUUCCUGCUAACUACACAUGACUGUGGGUGACCAAGUAGCGCUACUUGUCUUUGUGUGUCGUCAGGUUUCUUCACUGUUCUUCCCUGUUACCCUGUGCUUAUUCAUGCAACAUUUUGUGCCUGCAUUGUGCAGUCUUACCCAAAACACUUCCCAACAGUGCAGUGAACAUUUUCCCAGUUGUUCCUCCUUCCAGUCUUCCUCAAGAAAAUAAACCCUUGCAGGUAAGGCAAUGUCAGAGGAUGUUUUACCUUUUCUGUGUCAGCUAGAUAAAAGCCAUUUGUUUCAAACAAAAGAAAGGGGGGCAGUUGUCCAAUGGCAUUAUUAUCCAAACAGGGCCUGAGACAGAUUUGGUCAGGCCCAGCCUCUCCCUACACGGUCACACCAACAGACAGGGCUGAAAUCAAAUAGCAUCUGUACUGUACUGUACUGUCACCUGUUGCAAGAUCUAUUUUUUUUAUUCUCUAUCAGGCGGUUCAUAGCUUUCAUCUUAAAAUAACGUAAUUGAUGGACGAGGCAAAGGGACAUGUUGCAGGUAGUAACACCGGUGUAUAACAACAGUUUCCUACAGAAUUUCUCUAAGUAGGAGUUAAGAGUGAAGUAUUUCUCACUUAAGCUGAAAAACCCUCAAGAAGGUAGAUGGGUAUGGACAUGUACAAGGAGGAACAAUGACUUUACCUGGAAUCAUCCAGGGAGGCACCUGACUGGUAAAUUAGCUCAUGCAGGUUCUGCAACUGAAGUUUUUAAUCAUGGACACUGCAUAUGUAGAAGCUUAAAUAUCUGGACCCAUGGUUUUUAUCUACAAAAAUCCAUGACAAUGCAAAGUAAUGGCAUUAAACAUUUAGGAAGAAUGAAGACGCAUAGGUAAGAUAACCCAAACUGCCUUUAACUGGACUAGUGGCUGGUGGUGGAGUUUGGCAAAAUAUCAGCCUUGUAAAAUUGUCCUCAUCCAUUUGACUUCAGUUCCUUUUUUGAUGGGUAAGUAAACAAUUUGUAUUUUUAUAAUCCCCAUUGCAAAGAUGUCGAAAUAAGUUGGAUGCCUCAGUUAGGAAAUGUUCAUGAUAGUCCACAAACCUGUCGGGUAGUUUUCCUGCAGAGUUAGCAGGCAGAUAUCUGAAAAUGACUCUUUUGGGAUUUGGUUAAUUGCCCGUUGUCAAGAUAUGGAGGCAAUUACAAAGGUGGCUAGAAGAGUGAACUGGGAGCCAGGCCUGUAUGCAAAGUGGCUUGAGAGACUCAGGUGAAAGACCCUACAUAUUUGCAAAGGAUUAAAAGUACUCUGUCUUAGAGAAAGAGAAAGGCUGAACUAGCUACCUUUCAGACAGAGGAGUCUCAGGAAGACUUACCUGUUCCUGCCUACACUCUACAGAUAGAAGGCUUCCCUCAAAGGAAGAUGCAUUCACUACAACUGCCCUUGGUGAAAAUUCUUGGAAAGGCAGCUAGUCAGUGCCAGAUUUAGGCACAAGCUAAGUAAGCUACAGCUUACGGCCUCACAUUAUGAGGGGCCUCUAAAUAC
Molecule: long non-coding RNA, 2067 nt
Organism: Gavialis gangeticus (Gharial)
Lineage: Eukaryota; Metazoa; Chordata; Crocodylia; Gavialidae
Exons: 2
Source: RefSeq, a predicted model, not a curated record